This 253-nucleotide ribosomal RNA is filed under the name uncultured bacterium. Its description in RNAcentral is "partial 16S ribosomal RNA". It matches the Rfam family "Bacterial small subunit ribosomal RNA", at positions 524 to 776 of the family's 1533-position model. The record is from RNAcentral.
GACAGAGGGUGCAAGCGUUGUUCGGAAUUAUUGGGCGUAAAGGGCGCGUAGGUGGCCAUGUAAGUCAGAUGUGAAAGCCCUGGGCUCAACCCAGGAAGUGCAUCUGAUACUGCGUGGCUUGAGUUCCGGAGAGGAUGGUGGAAUUCCCAGUGUAGAGGUGAAAUUCGUAGAUAUUGGGAGGAACACCGGUGGCGAAGGCGACCAUCUGGACGAGAACUGACACUGAGGCGCGAAAGCGUGGGGAGCGAACAGG